RNAcentral lists this long non-coding RNA (670 nucleotides) under Phoenix dactylifera (date palm). Its description in RNAcentral is "long non-coding RNA (PDAC_LNC019669)". The record is from RNAcentral. Lineage: Eukaryota; Viridiplantae; Streptophyta; Magnoliopsida; Arecales; Arecaceae.
AAAUAAUUAAACAAUAUUAGUUGCAGAGAGAGAAGUUAAAUUCCAGUUUCACAACAAGCCUGCACCAAGAGUUGGCACUUAGACUACAUUGCUGUAUGCCUGUUACAAAUGAAUUGUGACAAUUUUUGUUCUAUUUUUAUUUGCUGUAGAAUCUGAGCAUGGUGAAUGGCGUGCUAUUUACAAGGAUGGUGUCAAAAAGGUUUAUAUUUUGUAACCGUGAAGAAAUUUUUUCAGGUAUAUUUACAAUGAUUGAUAACCUUUCCAUAUAAUUUUAUAAUAUAAGAUUAAUGUUACAAAACAUAUUUUAUUUGAUCUUAUGGCCUUUUAUUCUAUAUAAUAUGGUGCGUCCUUACUUAGACUUCCUAUUCUGUUAUUUUUGAUAAGGCAUUCUAGCUAAUUUUAAGAUGUUUUGGAUUUUCAGAUGCCAUUUCCAUAUCAUUAGUGUUAAAUCUUGUGCUGAACAUAUUUAUAGUUAACAUCAUGGGCAUAAUGGGAUAAAUAAUUGUACACCACAAAUAAGUAAAGCAUGACCAUAGUGUGCAUAUAUGCGUGCACACAUACAUACACACGCAUACAUAUGUGUAUAAGUGUAGCUUCAUGAGCAACAGAGAAGUCCUAGAUCUAUAUAUUUAGCAAAGAAGUCUAUGGAUCUAUUAGUGCAUUAGUGCUC